UAUUCGCGAUUAUCGAGAUUAAUUGGGAAUCUUUUUGACUCGCGAGGUUUAUAAGAUAGAGGAAGGCCCUACGUUCGUAUCGCGAUAAUUAAAAGCGUAUAUAUUUUAAUUAUUUUCAUAGAAGUAAUAAUAGUCGUGCGUACUCCAUCGUCAUAAUUCGAAUUAAUAAAAUUAUUUAAGAUCGUUCCUCUAUCAAAUUUCAUAUUACAAAAGGCUGAUUUUUAAUAAAAGCUUGAGAAAGUAAUAAUUUACUUGUUGGAACGUAAUUAUCGAAAGUGGACGUAGUGCGCAUGCCCGGCGUAGUGUUAUCGUUUUGCCGGUAAAAACUACGCCAUCGGUUGGUUUGUGCUAGAGUUCCGCGUAUCGUUCUCAUCAAUUACAGGUAUCAACCGUGAAAUUUUAUCCAGUGACCUCGAAGAGGAUGACGCGUGGACCGGCUCGAAAGGUCGUCGAAGGUUGAUAAUAACGGGAAUCGGUUGGACGGUCCUCUCACCACUUAACUGCUGCCUACGUUUCUUUAAAUAGAGCGUAGUUCUCGGGUGACCGUGUCGGUUCCGCGAACUCGCCGGCCGAUUCCAAGUACGUCGCUAUGGAAUGUCGCUGGCUUUGCUAAUACAUUUUUGCAUUUGCUAUCUCUACCAGCACUGAACGAGAAAAGGAAGAGGAAGUGGAAGAGGAAGACUACUCUCCCACCUUCAACGAGCCGAUUCGCCUCAGGCGUUUCUAUCGACGCGAAUACUUACCGUCGUUGCAUGAGUUGCUUCUCUCCCUCCCUCUCGCUCUCCCCCCCCCCUCUCUCUCUCUCUCUCUCUCUAAAGAUGACCCCACGAAUGGAAACGUAGACUCGAGACGGAGGUGAUCCUCCUCUUCUUACGAUUACGAGUCCGUACAGCAAGGUCAAAGUACGUUUAUCGGCAAGAGAUAGGAUUUCCUGCUGUCGUCUGGCCAGACGAGGAUUGUAUUGCCAAUAUUUAUUGCAUACAGAGUGUGAACCGUGUAAUACGAUCAAUUGGGAAUUGUUUUUCCCGAGGAAUUUGCAUCGUCGACCAAAUUCUUAGAGACUCGUCAAAAGAGAGAAAACCGAUGGAAUCCUUCAAUAAGCAAGAAGUUAUCGAGACGUGGUACUUCUCGUCCGGUUGAAUUCUCUCUCUCUCUCUCUCUCUCUCUGUCUCUUAGUCGCAGUGACGUUCUCGUUUUCUAAAGAAGGAAUAAUAGGAGCUGUGACGUCGAUACCACCGGCUCUUAGAAAGGGUAGUAAAGGAGAGGGAGGGAGGCAUUCGAGGGGUGAGAAAACAAAGGUUUUCAUCCGUCGAGACCCGUAACCAAGUACGCAUAUCGUGUCGUGCGACUCCUGAUAUAUUCCACAAUUAACCUUACUAAUAAAUUAUUGCUCUACCGACUUCUCGUUGGUAAGAAACCAAUGAGUACAAUCAUAUCACGUGACCCCAAGCCACGUUGGAUUAUCCGACUGUUCGCAGUGCCCUUGAAAGCAGUCAUUUAUAAUAUUUUCUUAGAUAGACGCGUUAGCUGGUCAUGUGUUUCGAUCAAUGAACUUUCCUUAAUGCCUUCUAUGCGUGUAAAUAGUAAGACAUACAGGAAUCGAAGAAACUUGGCGAAGUAAAUAAUGAAAAUAGAGAGAGAGAGAGAGAGAGAGAGAGAGAGAGAGAGAGAGAGAGAGAGAGAGAGAGAGAGAGAGUGAAAACAAGAAAGAAACUAAGGAAGGAAGGAAAGAAGGAAGGAAAAACGAAUCGGGUCGCGUUGGGUCGUUCGCCAGGAAAUCAGUCAACCGGUUUCGUUGUCGUCGUCGUCGUCGUCGUCGUCGUUGAGAGGGAAAGAGACGACGUAGAUGAAGAGCUUGAAACAUAGAGUAAGCAUAGAGAAAGAAGAUGGAGAGGAAAGAGAAGAGAGGAGAGAAUAGGUAUCGGCGUGAGUACUUCUCCCCUCUUUUCGCGUAGCGUCUCUUUUCCUCCUUUUCUCCCUGACUCUUCUCUUUUCUGUUGUUAGUUCCCUUGUCGAGGGAACGAAAAAGAGCGAAAAGCUACGAGGGUUGCCGAGUAAAGACGAGAAGCAACGAGGAGAUACGAGGAAGGCCGAGGAGAGUCGCACACCGCGGCGCUGAACGCAGUGCCAUCCGAUAGGCAGCACCGCUUGCUCCGUGGAUCCUUCGCUUCGCUCGCUCGUACGGAAGCCCUGGUUCUCUCUUCGUGUUCUCCCACCUUUUUUCUCUUUCCCUCUCUCUCUUUUUUUCCUUCCUUCUCUCUCUGUUUUUAUCAGAGAGAGAGAGAGGGAGAGAGAGACGAGCAAGCUUCCUCAUUUCUCGCGUCUCUUUCUCUUUCGAUAGUCGAAGUAAUAUUAUCGUGGGCCUUGGUGCGCCUUUUUGUUGUCGUUCGUUGCUCACACGCACGCACGUACGCACGCACGUAUGCACGCACGCAGCGUGAACGAUUUCGCACGAUAUACACAAACAUAUACAUAUGUAUAGGAGUAAUACAUAGAUGCAGUGAAUCUUACGCGACGCACGUCUCUCUCUCUCUCUCUCUCUCUCUCUCUCGUCUCGUCUCUCUCUCCCUCUCUCUCUCUGUCUGUCUUUCUCUCUCUUUGAUCUCUCUUUCGUGGCCUGGAAAACACGGAGAUUCACAUGGUGUGGACGUCAUCGUUGUCAUCGUCGUCAACGUCAUCAUCGUUAUCGUCAGCGUCAUCGUCGCAAUCUAUCUUCCAUCGUCGUGCUGUGAUCGUCGCUGUGUAUCGUUGUUGAUGAUCAUCGCCGUCCGUACCGUUGCGUACACGCACACACAUGUAUUACGCAUCGUCGACGUGAGGAGAACCACCCCCUCCCCUUGCAGCUCAUCAAGGAGCGGACGCGUGCUGGUCAACACGGUAAAUUCUAUAGAUGCAUAUCCCGAAGGAAACACGUAUCUCCCGUGCCAUCGGAGAGAAAAGGUUGCAAUAGCAAUUGACGAGAUAGAAGAGAAGGAAAGAAAGAAGGAAGAAGAGGAAAGAAAAGAUCGAAGAAGAAAAAGGAUGCAAAGUAGCAGAGGAUCCUUCGGAUUUCUCGAGGAUCAUCGUUCUAUCAUUCUCGAAUGCAUUGAUCGUCUUUGUUCGCGAUGAUGGAGGAAACAGAGCCGAUGCUUUUCUUAAUUGUCAGA
This is a long non-coding RNA of Vespa velutina, 3146 nucleotides long. RefSeq lists it as uncharacterized. The transcript has 4 exons. Lineage: Eukaryota; Metazoa; Arthropoda; Insecta; Hymenoptera; Vespidae. The record is from RefSeq and is a predicted model, not a curated record.